This 66-nucleotide transfer RNA is filed under the name Dinobdella ferox. Its description in RNAcentral is "tRNA-Phe". Lineage: Eukaryota; Metazoa; Annelida; Clitellata; Hirudinida; Hirudinidae. The record is from RNAcentral.
GUUUAGAUAGAUUAAAUUUAAAAUCGUGUCACUGAAGAUGAUAAAAUAAUAUUUUAUUUCUAAAUA